CAUUACCGAGUUUACAACUCCCAAACCCCUGUGAACAUACCUAUACGUUGCCUCGGCGGAUCAGCCCGCGCCCUGUAAAAAGGGACGGCCCGCCCGAGGACCCUAAACUCUGUUUUUAGUGGAACUUCUGAGUAAAACAAACAAAUAAAUCAAAACUUUCAACAACGGAUCUCUUGGUUCUGGCAUCGAUGAAGAACGCAGCAAAAUGCGAUAAGUAAUGUGAAUUGCAGAAUUCAGUGAAUCAUCGAAUCUUUGAACGCACAUUGCGCCCGCCAGUAUUCUGGCGGGCAUGCCUGUUCGAGCGUCAUUUCAACCCUCAAGCUCAGCUUGGUGUUGGGACUCGCGGUAACCCGCGUUCCCCAAAUCGAUUGGCGGUCACGUCGAGCUUCCAUAGCGUAGUAAUCAUACACCUCGUUACUGGUAAUCGUCGCGGCCACGCCGUAAAACCCCAACUUCUGAAUGUUGACCUCGGAUCAGGUAGGAAUACCCGCUGAACUUA
RNAcentral lists this ribosomal RNA (499 nucleotides) under Fusarium equiseti. Its description in RNAcentral is "eukaryotic LSU rRNA". The stretch from base 154 to 307 matches the Rfam family "5.8S ribosomal RNA". Lineage: Eukaryota; Fungi; Ascomycota; Sordariomycetes; Hypocreales; Nectriaceae. The record is from RNAcentral.